UACAGAGGUCUCAAGCGUUGUUCGGAUUCAUUGGGCGUAAAGGGUGCGUAGGCGGCGCGGUAAGUCGGGUGUGAAAUCUCGGGGCUUAACUCCGAAACUGCAUUCGAUACUGCCGUGCUUGAGGACUGGAGAGGAGACUGGAAUUUACGGUGUAGCGGUGAAAUGCGUAGAUAUCGUAGGGAAGACCAGUGGCGAAGGCGGGUCUCUGGACAGUUCCUGACGCUGAGGCACGAAGGUCAGGGGAGCAAACGGG
This 253-nucleotide ribosomal RNA is filed under the name uncultured bacterium. Its description in RNAcentral is "partial 16S ribosomal RNA". It matches the Rfam family "Bacterial small subunit ribosomal RNA", at positions 524 to 776 of the family's 1533-position model. The record is from RNAcentral.